CACGUAGGUGGCAAGCGUUAUCCGGAUUUAUUGGGCGUAAAGAGAACGCAGGCGGUCUUUUAAGUCUGAUGUGAAAGCCUUCGGCUUAACCGGAGUAGUGCAUUGGAAACUGGGAGACUUGAGUGCAGAAGAGGAGAGUGGAACUCCAUGUGUAGCGGUGAAAUGCGUAGAUAUAUGGAAGAACACCAGUGGCGAAAGCGGCUCUCUGGUCUGUAACUGACGCUGAGGUUCGAAAGCGUGGGUAGCAACCAGG
This 253-nucleotide ribosomal RNA is filed under the name uncultured bacterium. RNAcentral describes it as "partial 16S ribosomal RNA". It matches the Rfam family "Bacterial small subunit ribosomal RNA", at positions 524 to 776 of the family's 1533-position model. The record is from RNAcentral.